This 844-nucleotide long non-coding RNA is filed under the name Cairina moschata (Muscovy duck). Its description in RNAcentral is "domestica (muscovy Duck (domestic type)) lncRNA (ENSCMMG00000017285.1)". The record is from RNAcentral. Lineage: Eukaryota; Metazoa; Chordata; Aves; Anseriformes; Anatidae.
UUUUGAUUUCGUUUUUCAUUUUCUCUCUUUCUUUCUCACUCUUUCUCUCUUUCUCUCUAACUUCUUUUAUAUAUCUAUAAAAAAUGGAAAAUGCAGUGACUGUGUGAUUUUCACAACAUCUUUACUUAUAGUAUAUUCAUUUCAGUCAUAGGAAGCUUAGCAGGGAAAUAGGAAUUUCAUCUGGUUGGUAGGAAGAAUACCUACUUGGUAUUCAGGGGAGUUCAAGUUCAGGGAGUUUAAUGGGAGCAGCCCAUUCAGCAGGAAAGUAAUCUUUGAUGUGUAGGUACAGUAGUUCAGUGCUCUGACACUACAUUUGCUGGACUGGAGACAGAGCAUGUGAGCUGUGCUGAGAUCUUGGAUGUUCCUGAUACUUCAAAGUGGCAUAGAAAGAAGAAAAUAAACGAAAGAGAACUGAAUUCUUCGGGUGUUGUGACCCUGACUGGUGCUGGGGGAUAGAGGAAGAUGUGAGUACCUUUGAAGAUAGAAUCUAGAUGGGACUUACCCACAUUACAAUGAUACAAACAUACAAUACAUGUUUGCUGGAUAACGAUAUCAACGAGUAGUAAGGCAAUGAAAUGAUUCAGGCUUACUGACACUGUAAAAAUCAAGGUGCCACAACUGGUUCUGCUAUAGACACUCUCUGUAAUUUUGGCCAGGUCACCUCUGGUCAUGCCUUUGUGGGCAGGUGGUUAUGGAUGGUAGGAGUUAUAUACAAAUAUGCAUUUACAAAUCCAAGCAGGUUGUUUAUCAUUAAGUUUUAGGGCCUAAAAAUAUUUAAAAAGUCUUUUCCCUUAACCUAUCAGUAAUAAUAUAACUUCUUUCUCCUUUGCCUUGGUCCAUGCCC